GUCUGGUGGUGCAUUGCUGUAGUCCUGACUUACAGGGAGACUGAGACUGGGGGAUCACUUGAGUCCAGAAGUUCUGGGCUAUGUGUGCUAGGCUGACGGUGUCUGCACUAAGUAGACAUCAAACUCACAGGAGCAUGGGACCAACCCAAGUUUCUUAAGGAGAGGUGAACUGGUGCAGGGCGAAAACAGAGCAGGUCAAAACUCCCAAGCUGAUCAGUAGUGGAAUCACACAUGUGAAUAGCCCCAGCCUUUCAGCCUGGGCAACACAGUGAGACUUUGUCUCUU
Molecule: unclassified non-coding RNA, 285 nt
Organism: Callithrix jacchus (white-tufted-ear marmoset)
Lineage: Eukaryota; Metazoa; Chordata; Mammalia; Primates; Cebidae
Rfam family: Metazoan signal recognition particle RNA
About the family: The signal recognition particle (SRP) is a universally conserved ribonucleoprotein. It is involved in the co-translational targeting of proteins to membranes.
Source: Ensembl